RNAcentral lists this ribosomal RNA (449 nucleotides) under uncultured bacterium. RNAcentral describes it as "partial 16S ribosomal RNA". It matches the Rfam family "Bacterial small subunit ribosomal RNA", at positions 29 to 523 of the family's 1533-position model. The record is from RNAcentral.
AGCGAACGCUGGCGGCAGGCCUAACACAUGCAAGUCGAACGGACCCUUCGGGGUUAGUGGCGGACGGGUGAGUAACACGUGGGAACGUGCCUUUAGGUUCGGAAUAGCUCCUGGAAACGGGUGGUAAUGCCGAAUGUGCCCUUCGGGGGAAAGAUUUAUCGCCUUUAGAGCGGCCCGCGUCUGAUUAGCUAGUUGGUGAGGUAACGGCGCACCAAGGCGACGAUCAGUAGCUGGUCUGAGAGGAUGACCAGCCACACUGGGACUGGGACACGGCCCAGACUCCUACGGGAGGCAGCAGUGGGGAGUCUUGCGCAAUGGGCGAAAGCCUGACGCAGCCAUGCCGCGUGAAUGAUGAAGGUCUUAGGAUUGUAAAAUUCUUUCACCGGGGACGAUAAUGACGGUACCCGGAGAAGAAGCCCCGGCUAACUUCGUGCCAGCCGCCGCCGUAA